AAAACUCCAGGGAUCUAAAUCCUUUGGUUAAUUCUAAUCUACUUCUACAAGCUUCCUGAGUGACAUCAAGCACGAAUCAAAGCAAAAGCAAGUGAGUUCUGACCUGUAUUGAUGGUAUUUUCCAGAAUUUUUCAUCUCUUCGAUUCUCACUCAAUUCUCCAUAAUUCUAUUUGUUCCUAGGUUGUCUGAAGUCCUAUCAAUGUAGGCAAGAAGAUUGAGUUGCUUUGAGGUCAAAUUGAAGCAACUCAGAUCAUGCAC
RNAcentral lists this long non-coding RNA (258 nucleotides) under Lathyrus oleraceus (garden pea). RNAcentral describes it as "Pisum sativum (pea) long non-coding RNA (PSAT_LNC006041)". Lineage: Eukaryota; Viridiplantae; Streptophyta; Magnoliopsida; Fabales; Fabaceae. The record is from RNAcentral.